AUGAGGAGAGAGAGGAGGAAGCAUGGUGGACAGCCUUUGAGUGAAGAUCAACAUGAAGAACAUGAUCUUCUGUAUUCUGAGAACCUAGGAGCUGUUACAUAUUGCUACAUAUUGAUUACUGGGGGUCCUGCUGAGUUUAAUAUGCCACAUUUAUAAAGGGCAGCAUAUAGAAAUCUGCUGAUUUUUUUCCUCUCUUACAACUCCAGUUUCCAGGGAAGAAUAAGGUAUAAUUCAGUUAAGGAGAUAGCAAGUAACUAGAACAGAGA
This 266-nucleotide long non-coding RNA is filed under the name Monodelphis domestica (gray short-tailed opossum). RNAcentral describes it as "lncRNA (ENSMODG00000044963.1)". The record is from RNAcentral. Lineage: Eukaryota; Metazoa; Chordata; Mammalia; Didelphimorphia; Didelphidae.